Molecule: RNase MRP RNA, 599 nt
Filed under: Rosellinia necatrix
Lineage: Eukaryota; Fungi; Ascomycota; Sordariomycetes; Xylariales; Xylariaceae
Description: RNase MRP
Rfam family: RNase MRP
About the family: RNase MRP is an enzymatically active ribonucleoprotein with two distinct roles in eukaryotes.
Source: Rfam by way of RNAcentral
CUCUCGCCCAACAAAUCGCUAUCGAAGCUAUACACAGAGACUGCGUAUUCCGUCGUCUCACCAUCCAGCUUUGGGAGAAAGUCCCCGGACACCUCUGCCUCGGCCCCUUUCCCUCGGGAAAAGGGACGGGGAAGGAGACUGCGGAAACGCGCCGCCAUAGAAGCACAGCGGCUCACGUCCACCUCGCGUUUGUCCUCCUGGUAACGCCAGUCGUGCCUUCCGCAUCCGCCCCUCCUGCCCGGGCCGAGCUCCGGGCUCGGCUUCGUAAGAAAAUCAAGGCCUGCCCCCCUUGCGGUGCCUGGCGAGUCAGUGGUUCUGCUCCGGCUUUCCCGCUGGUCCGGGGUCCCCCAUGGACGAAGAUAUGAGUCCGCGACCCCUAGGCUUGGGAUUGCCGGGCGUUCCUUUGAUUUGCCGUCGUGCCCGUCUGGCGGCGGCUUUGAUGGCUAGGUUUGGCCGUGGAUCGGACACGCUGGGCUGGAGAACAUAGGAACGUGGGUAGAACACCCUUUUCGUCGAGUUUGAUAGUUAUGCGAUUGCCCGGCCUUGCCCGCUCGCCGGACAUGCCUGGUUACUCGAUGGGGCUUAUUCUUGGUGCGAGA